CCUACGGGAGGCAGCAGUCGAGAAUCAUUCACAAUGGGGGAAACCCUGAUGGUGCGACGCCGCGUGGGGGAAUGAAGGUCUUCGGAUUGUAAAACCCUGUCAUGUGGGAGCAAAUUAAAAAGUUAGUACCACAAGAGGAAGACACGGCUAACUCUGUGACAGCAGCCGCGGUAAUACAGAGGUCUCACGCGGUGUUCGGAAUCACUGGGCGUAAAGAGUGCGUAGGCUGUUUCGUAAGUCGGGUGUGAAAGGCGCGGGCUCAACCCGCGGACGGCAUAUGAUACUGGGAGACUAGAGUAAUGGAGGGGGAACCGGAAUGCUCGGUGUAGCAGUGAAAUGCGUAGAUAUCGAGAGGAACACUCGUGGCGAAGGCGGGUUCCUGGACAUUAACUGACGCUGAGGCACGAAGGCCAGGGGAGCGAAAGGGAUUAGAUACCCUUGUAGUC
RNAcentral lists this ribosomal RNA (446 nucleotides) under uncultured bacterium. RNAcentral describes it as "partial 16S ribosomal RNA". It matches the Rfam family "Bacterial small subunit ribosomal RNA", at positions 338 to 795 of the family's 1533-position model. The record is from RNAcentral.